Molecule: ribosomal RNA, 290 nt
Filed under: Acanthamoeba sp.
Lineage: Eukaryota; Discosea; Longamoebia; Acanthamoebidae
Description: partial small subunit ribosomal RNA
Source: RNAcentral
ACUCGAUUCUGCCCCUAAUACUUACAUGGGAUAAUGGAAUACGACCCUGUCCUCCUAUUUCGUUGGUUUUCGAGGACUAUGGUAAUGAUUAAUAAGGAUAAUUGGGGGCAUUAAUAUUUAAUUGCCAAACGUGAAAUUCUUGGAUUUAAGAAAGAUUAUGUUCUACGAUUUCAUCUGCCUUGGACGUUUUCAUUUCCCAAAAAUUAAUUAGGGGAUCAAUACUAUCGAUCCCGUCGUCCUCUUAACCCUUACCAUGCCCACCACCCUGCAAAAAACGUUUAUACAAACUU